UGCGUAGGUGGUUUCUUAAGUCAGGAGUGAAAGGCUACGGCUCAACCGUAGUAAGCUCUUGGAACUGGGAAACUUGAGUGCAGGAGAGGAAAGUGGAAUUCCUAGUGUAGCGGUGAAAUGCGUAGAUAUUAGGAGGAACACCAGUAGCGAAGGCGGCUUUCUGGACUGUAACUGACACUGAGGCACGAAAGCGUGGGGAGCAAACA
This 206-nucleotide ribosomal RNA is filed under the name uncultured bacterium. RNAcentral describes it as "partial 16S ribosomal RNA". It matches the Rfam family "Bacterial small subunit ribosomal RNA", at positions 568 to 774 of the family's 1533-position model. The record is from RNAcentral.